Molecule: non-coding RNA, 72 nt
Organism: Doryrhamphus excisus (bluestripe pipefish)
Lineage: Eukaryota; Metazoa; Chordata; Actinopteri; Syngnathiformes; Syngnathidae
Source: the annotation of a RefSeq genome assembly
GGCUUGUUGGUCUAGUGGUAUGAGUCUUGCUUAGGGUACAAGAGGUCCCGAGUUCAAUUCUCGGACAAGCCC